UUUGAAACUACCAAACAUUUUAAUAGUACACUCUUUCACCACACCACAAAAAAUCAUAGAACCACGAAUCUUAAUGUCAAAGUGGAUGGAAUUACUUUAUCACUACUCAAUCUAAUAUGAUCAUAAUUAUAAUGAUUAUUUUCCUCUCAAAAUUUACUGAAUAUACAGAAUUCAUCUACGAAUACAGCAAAAACUUAAAUACUAUAUAUGAGUUGAAACAAAUAGAAAUAGUUUUUUUUUUAUCAUAAUGAAACUG
RNAcentral lists this long non-coding RNA (256 nucleotides) under Brassica napus (rape). RNAcentral's name for it is "long non-coding RNA (BNAP_LNC005853)". The record is from RNAcentral. Lineage: Eukaryota; Viridiplantae; Streptophyta; Magnoliopsida; Brassicales; Brassicaceae.